RNAcentral lists this ribosomal RNA (253 nucleotides) under uncultured bacterium. Its description in RNAcentral is "partial 16S ribosomal RNA". It matches the Rfam family "Bacterial small subunit ribosomal RNA", at positions 524 to 776 of the family's 1533-position model. The record is from RNAcentral.
UACGUAGGUGGCAAGCGAUACUCGGAAUCACUAGGCGUAAAGCGCAGGUAGGCGGUUCGGUAAGUCUUUUGUGAAAGCUCCCGGCUCAACUGGGAGAGGCCAAGGGAAACUACCGGACUAGAGUGUGGUAGGGGAUACUGGAAUUCCUGGUGUAGCGGUGAAAUGCGUAGAUAUCAGGAGGAAUACCUAUGGCGAAAGCAGGUAUCUGGGCCAUCACCGACGCUGAGCUGCGAAAGCUAGGGGAGCAAACAGG